AUCUUCAGGCAUACUACCCCAAAUGCUCCUAGUCUCUCUUGAGCUCAAGAGCUAAACAGGUCCAGUUCAACUUAAUGCAUAGCUGGGAAACCGCCUGGGAAUACUGAGAGAUA
Molecule: ribosomal RNA, 113 nt
Filed under: Jaculus jaculus (lesser Egyptian jerboa)
Lineage: Eukaryota; Metazoa; Chordata; Mammalia; Rodentia; Dipodidae
Source: RNAcentral